Molecule: ribosomal RNA, 212 nt
Filed under: Salmonella enterica
Lineage: Bacteria; Pseudomonadati; Pseudomonadota; Gammaproteobacteria; Enterobacterales; Enterobacteriaceae
Description: partial 23S ribosomal RNA
Rfam family: Bacterial large subunit ribosomal RNA
Source: RNAcentral
GGUUAAGCGACUAAGCGUACACGGUGGAUGCCCUGGCAGUCAGAGGCGAUGAAGGACGUGCUAAUCUGCGAUAAGCGCCGGUAAGGUGAUAUGAACCGUUAUAACCGGCGAUUUCCGAAUGGGGAAACCCAGUGUGACUCGUCACACUAUCAUUAACUGAAUCCAUAGGUUAAUGAGGCGAACCGGGGGAACUGAAACAUCUAAGUACCCCC